CAGCAGCCACGGUAAUACAGAGGGUGCGAGCGUUAAUCGGAUUUACUGGGCGUAAAGCGUGCGUAGGCGGCUUUUUAAGUCGGAUGUGAAAUCCCUAAGCUUAACUUAGGAAUUGCAUUCGAUACUGGGAAGCUAGAGUAUGGGAGAGGAUGGUAGAAUUCCAGGUGUAGCGGUGAAAUGCGUAGAGAUCUGGAGGAAUACCGAUGGCGAAGGCAGCCAUCUGGCCUAAUACUGACGCUGAGGUACGAAAGCAUGGGGAGCAAACAGGAUUAGAUACCCCAGUAGUCCCUGUCUCUUAUAC
RNAcentral lists this ribosomal RNA (301 nucleotides) under uncultured bacterium. Its description in RNAcentral is "partial 16S ribosomal RNA". It matches the Rfam family "Bacterial small subunit ribosomal RNA", at positions 509 to 807 of the family's 1533-position model. The record is from RNAcentral.